Marmota marmota marmota (Alpine marmot) is the source of this 107-nucleotide small nuclear RNA. Lineage: Eukaryota; Metazoa; Chordata; Mammalia; Rodentia; Sciuridae. The record is from Ensembl.
CUGUUAUUCAUGUCAGCAGCACACUUACCAAAAUUGAAACAAAACAAAGAAGGUUAGCAUGGAAACUGGUGAAAGUAUGAUAGAUUGGUGAAGUAUCCCAUAUUUUA